CCAGACUCCUACGGGAGGCAGCAGUGGGGAAUAUUGGGCAAUGGGCGAAAGCCUGACCCAGCAACGCCGCGUGAGUGAAGAAGUAUUUCGGUAUGUAAAGCUCUAUCAGCAGGGAAGAAAGAAAUGACGGUACCUGACUAAGAAGCCCCGGCUAACUACGUGCCAGCAGCCGCGGUAAUACGUAGGGGGCAAGCGUUAUCCGGAUUUACUGGGUGUAAAGGGGGCGCAGACGGCGAUGCAAGCCAGGAGUGAAAGCCCGGGGCCCAACCCCGGGACUGCUCUUGGAACUGCGUGGCUGGAGUGCAGGAGGGGCAGGCGGAAUUCCUGGUGUAGCGGUGAAAUGCGUAGAUAUCAGGAGGAACACCGGUGGCGAAGGCGGCCUGCUGGACUGCAACUGACGUUGAGGCCCGAAAGCGUGGGGAGCAAACAGGAUUAGAUACCCUAGUAA
RNAcentral lists this ribosomal RNA (448 nucleotides) under uncultured bacterium. Its description in RNAcentral is "bacterial SSU rRNA". It matches the Rfam family "Bacterial small subunit ribosomal RNA", at positions 331 to 793 of the family's 1533-position model. The record is from RNAcentral.